RNAcentral lists this ribosomal RNA (253 nucleotides) under uncultured bacterium. Its description in RNAcentral is "partial 16S ribosomal RNA". It matches the Rfam family "Bacterial small subunit ribosomal RNA", at positions 524 to 776 of the family's 1533-position model. The record is from RNAcentral.
UACGUAGGGUGCAAGCGUUGUCCGGAAUUAUUGGGCGUAAAGAGCUCGUAGGCGGUUUGUCACGUCGGGUGUGAAAGCCCGGGGCUCAACCCCGGGUCUGCACUCGAUACGGGCAGACUUGAGUUCGGCAGGGGAGACUGGAAUUCCUGGUGUAGCGGUGAAAUGCGCAGAUAUCAGGAGGAACACCGGUGGCGAAGGCGGGUCUCUGGGCCGAUACUGACGCUGAGGAGCGAAAGCGUGGGGAGCAAACAGG